AUGCACUAUUACCACUGAGCAUUUACUAUGUUCCAGGCCCUGUGCUAAGCGCAUUGCCUGCUGCGUCUCACCCUUCAGUAGGAGUAGGGGACAGCUCUCCUGCCAGCCAGCCAGCUUGCCAAAGGAAUCUUUCCUGUGCACAGAGAGCACACUGGGCUUGGAGACAUUCUCUGCACAGUGGGAUUUGGGUGGUCAGGACAAGAGGAAGCAAGGGAUGCAGCUAUUUGGGGAAGAGUGUUUCCAGCAGAAGGAAGAAGACCUGCCCAGGUGUCGGAUAAGAGCCUGCUUGGUGCAUUCAGGGAUACGAAGGAGGCCAGCGUGGCUGAGAUGAGGUAGGGGCAGCCGGGGUGAGAACAGGUGGGACUUGCCGGCCAUGAAGAGGACCUUGGAUUGCUGUUGAGUGAAAUGGAAAGCCAAAUGUAGGGUCUUGAACAGAAGAGGGACAUGAUGAGCCUUAUGUUUUGAAAUGAUCAUUCUGGACACCAGAUGGAAAAUAGACAGGGGCUGGGGGUGGGGUUGG
RNAcentral lists this long non-coding RNA (520 nucleotides) under Homo sapiens (human). RNAcentral describes it as "non-protein coding LINC01762:29". Lineage: Eukaryota; Metazoa; Chordata; Mammalia; Primates; Hominidae. The record is from RNAcentral.